RNAcentral lists this ribosomal RNA (307 nucleotides) under uncultured eukaryote. RNAcentral describes it as "partial 18S ribosomal RNA". It matches the Rfam family "Eukaryotic small subunit ribosomal RNA", at positions 1470 to 1796 of the family's 1831-position model. The record is from RNAcentral.
CCCUUAGACGUUCUGGGCCGCACGCGCGCUACACUGACACAGGCAACGAGCUUUCCUUUACCGAAAGGUAUGGGUAAUCUUUUGAAACUGUGUCGUGCUGGGGAUAGAUCCUUGCAAUUUUUGAUCUUAAACGAGGAAUUCCUAGUAAGCGCGAGUCAUCAACUCGCGUUGAUUACGUCCCUGCCCUUUGUACACACCGCCCGUCGCUACUACCGAUUGAACGGCUUAGUGAGGCCUCAGGAUCCGCGCUUAAUGUGUGGAGAAUUUGGACAAACUACGUCAUUUAGAGGAAGUAAAAGUCGUAACA